Molecule: ribosomal RNA, 468 nt
Filed under: uncultured bacterium
Lineage: Bacteria
Description: partial 16S ribosomal RNA
Rfam family: Bacterial small subunit ribosomal RNA
Source: RNAcentral
GACGAACGCUGGCGGCGUGCUUAACACAUGCAAGUCGAACGGACAGGCCAGGCGUUUGUGGGGCUCUCGAGUGGGGAACACGUGAGUAACACGUGAGUACCCUGCACUUGACAUUGGGAUAAAUUCAGGAAACUGCGGAUCUUACAGCAUAUGAGCUCCUGCUGCGUGUUGGGGGAUGGAGAGUUUCGGCGGUUGGGGAUGGAAUGGCGGCUUACAAGCUUGUUGGUGGGGUAGGUGCAUACCAAGCUUUUGAAGGGUAGCCGGCCUGAGAGGGUGUACGGGCACAUUGGGACUGAGAUACGGACCAGACUCCUAUGGUAGGCAGCAGGCGGGAAUCUUGCACAAUGGGCGGAAGCCAGAUGCAGCAGCGUCGCGUGCGGGAUGACGGGCUUCGGGUGGUAAACCGCUUUCGCCUGGGACGAAGCGUGAGUGACGGUAAUGGGUAAAGAAGCACCGGCUAACUACGUG